UACGAGGGGGCGAGCGUUGUUCGGAAUUAUUGGGCGUAAAGGGUGCGUAGGCGGUUUGGUAAGUCUCUUGUGAAAUCUAUGGGCUCAACUCAUAGUCUGCAAGGGAAACUGCCGGGCUUGAGUGUGGGAGAGGUGAGUGGAAUUUCCGGUGUAGCGGUGAAAUGCGUAGAUAUCGGAAGGAACACCUGUGGCGAAAGCGGCUCACUGGACCACAACUGACGCUGAUGCACGAAAGCUAGGGGAGCAAACAGG
This 252-nucleotide ribosomal RNA is filed under the name uncultured bacterium. Its description in RNAcentral is "partial 16S ribosomal RNA". It matches the Rfam family "Bacterial small subunit ribosomal RNA", at positions 524 to 776 of the family's 1533-position model. The record is from RNAcentral.